GACGAACGCUGGCGGCGUGCUUAACACAUGCAAGUCGAACGAAGUGGCGAACGGGUGAGUAACGCGUAAUCAACCUGCACUUCAGCGGGGGACAACAGUUGGAAACGACUGCUAAUACCGCAUACGGAAGGAGGGGCUUGCGGCUGAUUAGCUAGUUGGAGGGGUAACGGCCCACCAAGGCGAUGAUCAGUAGCCGGGCUGAGAGGAGGAACGGCAACAUUGGGACUGAGACACGGCCCAGACUCCUACGGGAGGCAGCAGGUGGGAAUCGUCCGCAAUGGACGAAAGUCUGACGGAGCAACGCCGCGUGAGUGAUGACGGCCUUCGGGUUGUAAAGCUCUGCUAAUCGGGACGCGGUACCGGAAUAGAAAGCCACGGCUAACUACGUGCCAGCAGCCGCGGUAAUAC
RNAcentral lists this ribosomal RNA (408 nucleotides) under uncultured bacterium. Its description in RNAcentral is "partial 16S ribosomal RNA". It matches the Rfam family "Bacterial small subunit ribosomal RNA", at positions 28 to 526 of the family's 1533-position model. The record is from RNAcentral.